This 443-nucleotide ribosomal RNA is filed under the name uncultured bacterium. RNAcentral describes it as "bacterial SSU rRNA". It matches the Rfam family "Bacterial small subunit ribosomal RNA", at positions 958 to 1398 of the family's 1533-position model. The record is from RNAcentral.
AACGCGAAGAACCUUACCUACUCUUGACAUCCUCGGAAUGAAGCAGAGAUGUUUCAGUGCCUUCGGGAACCGAGAGACAGGUGCUGCAUGGCUGUCGUCAGCUCGUGUCGUGAGAUGUUGGGUUAAGUCCCGUAACGAGCGCAACCCCUAUCAUUAGUUGCCAGCGAGUAAUGUCGGGAACUCUAAUGAGACUGCCGGUGAUAAGCCGGAGGAAGGCGGGGAUGACGUCAAGUCAUCAUGGCCCUUACGAGUAGGGCUACACACGUGCUACAAUGGGCGGUACAGAGGGAAGCGAAGCCGUGAGGUGAAGCGAAUCUCAUAAAAGCCGCUCGUAGUCCGGAUUGGAGUCUGCAACUCGACUCCAUGAAGUUGGAAUCGCUAGUAAUCGCGGAUCAGAACGCCGCGGUGAAUACGUUCUCGGGCCUUGUACACACCGAGACGAC